GAUAAUGAACUGCUCCAUUCAUCUAUCGGGCUGUUCCAAAUACUUUCUGAGCUUUGCUAUCAGCCGGUUUUCUACAGUGAUCGACUAUUCUCCGAAUCUCUUCAGACUUCUUCCGGUCAUGGACGACUUUUCUCCGAACUUCUACAACGGGAUAGGCUCCACCAAUCGGGUCUCUACUCUGAACUUCUACAAUGGGACAGUCUCCACC
This 208-nucleotide long non-coding RNA is filed under the name Elaeis guineensis (African oil palm). RNAcentral describes it as "long non-coding RNA (EGUI_LNC064630)". Lineage: Eukaryota; Viridiplantae; Streptophyta; Magnoliopsida; Arecales; Arecaceae. The record is from RNAcentral.